This 603-nucleotide small RNA is filed under the name Pongo abelii (Sumatran orangutan). RNAcentral describes it as "processed transcript". The record is from RNAcentral. Lineage: Eukaryota; Metazoa; Chordata; Mammalia; Primates; Hominidae.
UAUUGAAGAAAUUUAAGUUCGUGUGGUUUUACCUUUUCCGGGAGUCUCCAGCUGGCCCUCAUAUGUGUCCGGAGCUCAGGAGUUCCCAAGCCGACUCAGUCGCACCAAGUUUCCGUCUUUUGGGAUUGGGGAAGGAGUUUCUUUCUUUCUUUUCUUUUUCUUGAGCCAGUUUUAAUCGCUUUGAAUAAAUACUCCCUUAAGUAGUUAAAUAUAGGAGGAGAAAGAAUACGUCGGUUGUUAAAGCAGGAGAGGAAGAGAGAGACCUGCUCUAUAGCGUGACUCCUCUAGAAAAAAAAAAAGCCGGAGUAUUUUACUAAACCCCUAAAAUGUCGAGAUUUGUACAAGGUACCUGUGCGUGCACGCAGACGGGAAGGGCUGGGGAAGCGGGAGGACUGGGAAAGGCCAGAUCUUAGCAAAGCAAUGUCUCAAGAUGGCGCUUCUCAGUUCCAAGAAGUCAUUCGGCAAGAGCUAGAAUUAUCUGUGAAGAAGGAACUAGAAAAAAUACUCACCACAGCAUCAUCACAUGAGUUUGAGACACCGGGUUUUGCCAUAUUGCUGAGGCUGGUCUCAAACUCCUGAGCUCAAACGAUCAGCUGGCCUGAG